Molecule: long non-coding RNA, 7297 nt
Filed under: Brassica napus (rape)
Lineage: Eukaryota; Viridiplantae; Streptophyta; Magnoliopsida; Brassicales; Brassicaceae
Description: long non-coding RNA (BNAP_LNC014715)
Source: RNAcentral
AAGUGACGACCAAUCAACAGAUACAUAUAUCUAUAUAUAGAGAAAGAGAGAUCAUAAAAGAUCACAACAUCGAACCAUGGAGAAAUCAACUAGAACCCUAAUGAUCAUAACCAUCGUGAUAACCUCCAUGUUGGUAGGGUUUGGAAGCUCAGAUCUGGAUCAAGACAGAGAAGAGUGUACGGACCAGUUGAUAGCACUCUCACCAUGUCUCCCAUACGUGGGAGGAAACGCAAAGGCUCCAACAAAAGAUUGUUGUGGUGGUUUUGAUCAGGUUAUAACAAAGAGUGAGAAGUGUGUUUGCAUAUUGGUCAAAGACAAAGAUGAUCCUAAUCUUGGCCUCAAGUUUAACGCAACACUAGCUGCUCAUAUUCCCACCCUUUGUCAUAUUACAGCUCCUAACAUCACCAAGUGUAUUUGUAAGUCUCAUUCUCUUCUUUUUUGUUUUUUUUUUAAAUUUGAUUUUGGAGAUCAUGUACGUAUACUAAGCAGGUGAUUCCUAGUACAAUGGACAGUCUUAUUUCAGUUAUUAGUUAUUUGAAGUAUUCUUCGUUUUAGUUUAGUUGUUUUCUUUUUGGGGAAUGUUCCUUUCUCAUACUAAACUGCGAGUUUUUUUAUUCUUCUUUCCCUUAUUAGUUUAGUUGUUAUACCAUAUGGAAAUGAAAGUAGUUCUAGUAUCUACAGCUUUUUUUUUUUAUCAAAAAAAUAAAAAUAAUAUAUAUAUAUAUAUAUAAGCCGUAGAUACUAGAACUUUUAGUCUGUUUUAAUUAUUAGUCUUUAUUUUGGAGAUCACAUACAAUUAUUAAUGUGUGAUUUUAUAAUAUUUUAGAUUGUUAAAUAGUACUGUAUUAUUAUUAUUUCUUCAGUUGUUAUUAUACGGUAUGGAACGACAAUUGAUGGUAUUUAAUGAUAUAUAUUUGCUUCUUUGUUUACUGAAUCACGAAUUUUUAUUUAUUUUAAACUUGUUUGCAUUUGAUUUUAUGGGAAAGCGCUUCUGCAUUUAUCUCCAAACUCGACACUGGCUAAAGAGUUUGAGAGUUUAGGAAGGAUUGAAUAUGAAGGAAAGACCAACUCCACAUCUCCUUCACAUAAUGUUAAAGGUAACUAAAAUCAAUUAAAUCUGCUCAAGUAAUUAGUCCAUCUCUUUUAAGUUAAUCUAAUCAACAUUACUAUCUAAUUAAGCACACCAUUGAGCUAAUCCCAUGAUCAAUAAUUCAAUACAUAUGAAUCAAUAAAGAUGGUGUGCUUAAUUACUGCUUAUCAAAUAUACUGACUCUGUAAAUGUUUUUCUUUGUGUAUGUAUAUAAAGAUGGGACUGGAGGAGGAAAAGCUGAACAAGUGAAGAGUACUGGAGAGAAGAAGAGUUGGUUGGCUGUUGAGCUUUUAAUAUUUGCUCUCUUCUCUCAUCUUCUCUUCAUUAUCCCUUCUUUCACAUCUUCCUCCUUUAUUUAAUGUUACGUUCUUCUGCUUUAAUUUAUGUUAUAUAGUUACAUCUAAAUUUAUAUAUGCAUGUGCAUGCAUAUGAUUUAUGCAUGUAAGUGAGUGCAAACUUGUAAUGGGUAUUGAGAUUUUAAUAACGAAAGCGUAGCUUUUAAUCUUGUUGCUACUUGCUCUUGUGUACGCUAGUGCUUUUUUGUUUCCACAAAAGUGCAUUCUUGUAUGAGACAUAACAAAUGUAGCAAGUUAAGAUCAUUUAGUAAAUCGUAAUGUUGUUAGUAAGGUGUUGUCAAAAACACAAGGUGUUAGUAUGCUAAUUUUUGUUUAUAAAUCAUAGCUUUUAAAAUAACGUUAGCAUGAAUCACUUAGCCUAAUCUAGUUUUCUCAUGUAAAUAUAGAAAAAAAAAAAACGAAUGAUCACUAAAACUACGGUUCAGUGUCAGUGACAAGGCCCAGACCCGUCCCACCAUAACCAACAAGCUUCACCAGCAGCCCGUGGGCUUGAAGAAACUAAAGUAAAUAUUAUGAACAAUAAUAUCUUAAUGCAACUAAGAAAAUAGAGUAAAACAAAAAAACAUCAAAAAUUAUGUUCAAACAAAUCCAAAGAGGAAAAAGUGUUUCACCUCCCACAUAGCAAUCCAUAAUCUAUAUUCUCUAAAAUAAAGAUUCAAAAAUAUGUAAAACAACAGCUUAGAACAAAGUAUGUAUUGAAGAAAAAAUAAAGUAUGUAUAUUGAAGUAUUUUUCACCAUAUUCACUCUUCAAAAUUCACAUUAAUUGAUUGAAGAAAAAAUUGCAUCUGCUCCAUGAUAAAAAUUAGCAUCCUUUUAUAUAUAAAUGUUCACAAGUUUUGUUAGUGUUGGUACGGUUUGGUUCUGUCCGGUCUGGUAUUACUUGAGGAGUAAACUUCGCUGGAGUCGAGAUAAGGUCGUAUAAGAGUUGUUAGAGAAUAUAGAAUAUACGUAGAUGUUGAUAACUAAGGAUCUAUUGUGAAGAUCUCUUUGUCUUGUAUAUAUUCUCAUUGUGAGUACUGAAUACAACAACACGUUCUCAAUACUUUCUUCCUAAGUUUACAUGGUAUCAGAGCAGUGCUAGAUCCAGUAGAAGAAAUUGUUGAGAAAAAAAUAUCAUGUCAAAAGAUCUUGCAGUUGCAAGCGUCAGUGGUGGGAGCAGUAUGUCCUCACCUUACUUUCUGUCACAUUCAGAUAAUCCUGGUGUCUCCAUCUCUCCAGUCUCGUUGACAGGAGAGAAACUAUGCCGAGUGGUCGUCGGAGCUGGAGAACGCGCUGCAUGCCAAGCGUAAAACAGGAUUCAUCGAUGGAUCUCUGACUAUGCCGAGUGAGUCGGAGAAGCCGGCAGAAGCUGAGCAGUGGAAGACUGUAAAUUCAAUGAUUGUGGGUUGGAUAAGGGCUUCCAUCUCGCCCACGAUCCGUUCAACCGUGACAUUCACGCCUGAUGCGUACAAGAUGUGGGAUGAUCUGAAGAGGAGAUUCUCCGUCGGGAAUGCGGUUCGAGUACAUCAACUGAGGGCAGAGUUAGCGGCUUGUAGACAAGACGGUUCCAGUGUUAUGGAAUACUUUGGUCGCUUGGUGCUCAAGUGGGAGGAGCUUCUCAGAUACAAACCAAUCCCACAAUGUACUUGCGGGGCCUCAGAGAAGUUCGUUGCAGAGUAUGAAGAGGAGAAAGUGCACACGUUCCUAAUGGGACUAGAUGAUGCUCGUUUUGGUAACGUGUGUACGAACAUCAUUGGCAUGGAGCCCUUACCAGAUCUCAACUCUGUUUAUCAGCGAGUGAUAAGGGAAGAGAGACGUCUGGUAUCGUCCAGAGUUGAACCUAAACAAGACGCAGUCGGGUUCAUGGCGAAAUCAGACGGAGGUGCUGGCGACAGUGCGUCUAUGAGUGGUUUGAUUGCAGCAGUGGCUCGCAGUCGUGGUAGCUCGUUGGUAUGUUCUCAUUGUGGAAGGUCUGGACACGACAAGAAGGAUUGCUGGCAGAUUGUCGGGUUCCCGGAGUGGUGGACAGAACGCAGUCAGAACAGCGAGCGUGGUGGACGCAACAGAGGAAGAGGGCGAGGCCGUGGUCAGGCAAAGGCUAAUGCAGCUCAAGCAACGAGCAGCGCUGGUGUUCCUUGACUCACCAACGAACAGUGGGCCUCUCUAACUGCUCUUCUUGAGCAGCAAAAGAGCUCACCGAUUCCUGACAAGUUGAAUGGUAAGCAGCAGACCGGUGAGGUGAUCCUCGACACCGGGGCAUCUCACCAUAUGACUGGUCAUCUCUCUCUGCUUACUGAAACAGUUAAUAUUGUGAACUGCCCUGUGAGCUUCGCAGAUGGUAGUCAAGUUCUCGCGUCAAAGAGUGGUUCUCUUAGGCUCUCAGACAAGAUUACGUUGAUGAAUGUUAUGUUUGUGCCUAAUCUGAAUUGCACACUGUUAUCGGUUGCUAAGUUGCUUAAGCAAACCGGAUGUCUUGCUGUCUUUACUGACACUCUGUGUGUGUUGCAGGACCGUUUUACGAGGACCCUGAUUGGAGCCGGUGAAGAACGGGAUGGCGUUUAUGUUUAUCGAGAUGUUACUAUGGCACGAGGACACAGAAUCAAAGCCGCUGAGGACAAGACGCUGUGGCAUCGGAGAUUAGGACAUCCUGCAUUUGGUGUUUUAGGAAAUUUGCCUUUUGUUUCUGGUGUUUUAGACAAUAAAGAAAAGUUUGGUGGUUGUGACAUUUGUUUUAAAUCAAAACAAACUCGCGGGGUGUUUUCCGAGAGUUUUAAUAAAGCUUCAGUGCCAUUUGAGUUAAUACAUGUUGAUCUAUGGGGUCCCUAUCGCAAACAAUCUUCCUGCGGUGCAGUGUACUUCCUUACGAUCGUCGAUGACUUCUCAAGGGCUGUGUGGAUACAUCUACUACUUGAGAAGACUGAGGUCAAGACGAUUUUGCCAAAUUUCUGCGCACUGGUUCAAAGACAGUUUGGUCGCUCAGUGCAGACAGUGAGGAGCGACAAUGGUACUGAAUUUGUCUGCUUGUCUAAGUACUUCGCGAGCAAUGGCAUUAUCCAUCAGACGUCGUGUGUUGCCACUCCACAGCAGAAUGGUCGAGUUGAGAGGAAGCAUCGACACAUUCUCAAUGUCGCGAGAUCGUUAAUGUUUCAAGCGAGUCUCCCCAUCAAGUUCUGGGGCGAAUGUAUUCUUGCUGCAGCUCACGUCAUUAACAGAACACCUUCCAGCUUACUACAUGGGAAGACACCUUAUGAGUGCUUGUACAGCAAGGCACCAAACUAUGAUGACAUCAAGGUGUUCGGUUGCUUGUGCUUCGCGCACAAGAUGUCUAGAGAUAAAGAUAAGUUCAAGGAAAGAAGUCGGAGGUGCAUCAUGGUUGGAUAUCCAUACAGGAAGCGAGGUUGGAGGCUCUAUGAUCUGGCGAGCCACGAGUUCUUUGUGUCUCGUGACGUCGUGUUCCAAGAGGACACAUUCCCAUACCUUGAUGAACACGAUGAACCACUUGGAAGCGACGAGCUACCUAUCUUCUAUGAUCAGGGAGUGUUACAUGAAGAACCACUGGUCGUAGAAUCAAGGGGGAGUGUUAGUGAUGCAGUGGUCGAACCGUCUGAGACAUCUGGAGUAUUGACGGUGGGAGAAAGAGUAGCAGAACUGGGUACUGAGACAGAGAAAGUAGUACCUGCAGUUCCUAUAGCUGAAAUCGGAGUUACAGAACCUGUUCAAGAGGAACAGUUGCUGGGGAGAGGACAUCGCGUGUCACAACCUUCGGUGAAACUCAAGGACUAUGUGACAUACAACGCACAAUGCCUCGUCGAUAAACAUAACGCCACUCCAAUCUCACCUGCAACAACUCCAUCAAGGUCCUCCGACUCGGUUCAAGGUAAAACGUCCUAUCCACUCUCCGCAUAUGUUACUGAUGCUAUGUUUUCACAGAAACAUCAAGUGUUCCUCGCAGUCAUCACAGAGGGAACAGAACCGAAAAGUUUUAAAGAAGCUAUGUUGGAUCCCAACUUCAAAGAAGCCAUGUCAGUAGAAGUAACAGCACUUGAAGAACAAGGAACUUGGGAUGUGAUGAAGCUUCCUAGAGGAAAGAAGGCGCUAGCAUGUAUGUGGAUUUAUAAAUACAAAUACAACGCCGACGGAACUAUAGAGAGACCAAAGGCGCGUUUGGUGGUGUGUGGAAACAGACAGGUAGAGGGAGAAGACUACGACGAGACGUUUGCCCCGGUAGCCAAGUUAACUAUGGUGCGAACCUUGUUGGAAGUGGCUGCGGCUAAGAACUGGGAAGUGCACCAGAUGGAUGUACAUAACGCGUUCCUCCACGGGGAUUUGAAAGAAGAAGUGUACAUGCAGAUGCCUCCUGGAUUUCAAGCGACCGCACCAGGCAAAGUGUGCAGGCUAAGGAAAUCUCUCUAUGGUCUGAAGCAGGCGCCGAGAUGUUGGUUCGCAAAGUUGACGACGGCAUUAAAGAAGUUUGGGUUUAAGCAAUCCUACUCUGACUACUCAUUGUUUACAUAUAUCAAAGGAGACAACUCGCUGCGAGUGCUCAUCUAUGUUGAUGACUUGAUCUUGACUGGAAAUGAUUCAACGAUGAUGAGCAAGUUCAAGGUGUACCUGAAUGAGUGUUUCAAGAUGAAGGAUUUAGGAAGAGCUAAGUAUUUUCUGGGAAUUGAAAUCGCAAGGGGACCUGAAGGAAUGUUUUUGUCUCAGAGGAAGUAUGCCUUAGACAUUGUUGCAGAAGCAGGGAUGCUCGGAUGUAAACCAGUUUCGACUCCUAUGGAACAGAACCAUAAGUUAUUUUUUUUGCCAAAGUAUAUAGAAGAAGUUAUACAACUUUUGUAUAGCAGUUUUCUUAUUAAAACUUCAAUCGCUCUAUGUUUUAGGUGUAUUUGAUAUUCGGAAACAUACCAAGUUAUAUAGUUAAUGCGUGAAACAUAUCUAAGGGUUGUAUGAAUAUGACAUUUGAUGUAGUUGUUGCCUUGUUUGUCCAUUUUUGAAAAAUUACAUACAUCCUCAAAUAGUCAGUUAACGUAGAUGAAGAGAUUCUAUGCCAUCAUAUAAUUAAUCUUUUUGCAUGUAUAUUGACCCACAUGUACUGUGGAUUAACAACUUUAGAAAUUCACAUUAUUUAAUAAGAAUAACUAUCACGGUAAAAUAGUUGUUCCCCUGGAAAAUAUCACAAUACUGGAAUAUAUUUUUUUGGCUGGAAAUAAAUUGUGUCACUGAAGCCAAACUAACUAACAAACAAAAUACUAGCUAUUUUUUCAGAAAAAAAAAUUCCGCUUUCUUGAUUUAAUUAAGUUUCAACUGAUGAUGUUUUUUUAUUAGCUAUCUCUCCAAUGAAUUUGUUGAUUCUUUUGAAAAGUUGUCGUAAGCCAUAAUUAAUCAACACUCCUACAAUAUACUAGUAGUAUAUAAUAUUACACGUUUAAAAAUUAUUUAUCUUGACACAACUAUAAAUGUGAAAAUGUAAUAAAUUCUCAUCACCCAACCAAUACAUUGACACUUAGAUAGUAUGUAUGUGUAUAUAUAUACACACGAUCACACCAUUCUAUCUAGCUAAAAAGUGACGACCAAUCAACAGAUACAUAUAUCUAUAUAUAGAGAAAGAGAGAUCAUAAAAGAUCACAACAUCGAACCAUGGAGAAAUCAACUAGAACCCUAAUGAUCAUAACCAUCGUGAUAACCUCCAUGUUGGUAGGGUUUGGAAGCUCAGAUCUGGAUCAAGACAGAGAAGAGUGUACGGACCAGUUGAUAGCACUCUCACCAUGUCUCCCAUACGUGGGAGGAAACGCAAAGGCUCCAACAAAAGAUUGUUGUGGUGGUUUUGAUCAGGUUAUAACAAAGAGUGAGAAGUGUGUUUGCAUAUUGGUC